CUUCGGGAAACCGGAGCUAAUACCGGAUAAUAUUUCGAACCGCAUGGUUCGAUAGUGAAAGAUGGUUUUGCUAUCACUUAUAGAUGGACCCGCGCCGUAUUAGCUAGUUGGUAAGGUAACGGCUUACCAAGGCGACGAUACGUAGCCGACCUGAGAGGGUGAUCGGCCACACUGGAACUGAGACACGGUCCAGACUCCUACGGGAGGCAGCAGUAGGGAAUCUUCCGCAAUGGGCGAAAGCCUGACGGAGCAACGCCGCGUGAGUGAUGAAGGUCUUCGGAUCGUAAAACUCUGUUAUUAGGGAAGAACAUACGUGUAAGUAACUAUGCACGUCUUGACGGUACCUAAUCAGAAAGCCACGGCUAACUACGUGCCAGCAGCCGCGGUAAUACGUAGGUGGCAAGCGUUAUCCGGAAUUAUUGGGCGUAAAGCGCGCGUAGGCGGUUUUUUAAGUCUGAUGUGAAAGCCCACGGCUCAACCGUGGAGGGUCAUUGGAAACUGUAAAACUUGAGUGCAGAAGAGGAAAGUGGAAUUCCAUGUGUAGCGGUGAAAUGCGCAGAGAUAUGGAGGAACACCAGUGGCGAAGGCGACUUUCUGGUCUGUAACUGACGCUGAUGUGCGNAAAGCGUGGGGAUCAAACAGGAUUAGAUACCCUGGNUAGUCCACGCCGUAAACGAUGAGUGCUAAGUGUUNAGGGGGNUUUNCCGCCCCUUNAGUGCUGCAGCUAANCGCAUUAAGNCACUC
RNAcentral lists this ribosomal RNA (744 nucleotides) under Staphylococcus sp. ASP4. RNAcentral describes it as "bacterial SSU rRNA". It matches the Rfam family "Bacterial small subunit ribosomal RNA", at positions 147 to 869 of the family's 1533-position model. Lineage: Bacteria; Bacillati; Bacillota; Bacilli; Caryophanales; Staphylococcaceae. The record is from RNAcentral.